Molecule: ribosomal RNA, 217 nt
Filed under: Cytobacillus citreus
Lineage: Bacteria; Bacillati; Bacillota; Bacilli; Caryophanales; Bacillaceae
Description: partial 16S ribosomal RNA
Rfam family: Bacterial small subunit ribosomal RNA
Source: RNAcentral
UUAUUGGAGAGUUUGAUCCUGGCUCAGGACGAACGCUGGCGGCGUGCCUAAUACAUGCAAGUCGAGCGGACUUGUGAGAGCUUGCUCUCACAAGUUAGCGGCGGACGGGUGAGUAACACGUGGGCAACCUGCCUGUAAGACUGGGAUAACUUCGGGAAACCGGAGCUAAUACCGGAUAAUUCUUUUCUACACAUGUAGGAAAGCUGAAAGAUGGCUU